UCAAUUACCUAAGCGACACUGCGUAGAUCAUUAAGGAUGUGGUGUUAGGGUAAGAUCGGCAUUGCACAACGCUUGAUUGACCCCUACAACUUUGCACAAGGUGCUUAGUUGAGUUUAUAAUUUAUGUGUGAAGGGAUAGCGUUCGCGCAUCCCCAUU
This 157-nucleotide small nuclear RNA is filed under the name Intoshia linei. RNAcentral's name for it is "U1 spliceosomal RNA". It matches the Rfam family "U1 spliceosomal RNA". Rfam says of the family: U1 is a small nuclear RNA (snRNA) component of the spliceosome (involved in pre-mRNA splicing). Its 5' end forms complementary base pairs with the 5' splice junction, thus defining the 5' donor site of an intron. Lineage: Eukaryota; Metazoa; Orthonectida; Rhopaluridae. The record is from Rfam by way of RNAcentral.